Molecule: transfer RNA, 72 nt
Filed under: Podarcis lilfordi (Lilford's wall lizard)
Lineage: Eukaryota; Metazoa; Chordata; Lepidosauria; Squamata; Lacertidae
Description: tRNA.Ile
Source: RNAcentral
GCCUGGAUAGCUCAGCUGGUUAGAGCAUGGUGCUGAUAAUGCCAAGGUGGCAAGUUUGAUCCCUGUACGGCA